CAAUGAGGUGUUAGCAACUUAUUUGUAAUCUUUUUUUUAUAAUAUCCAUUUAUGAUAAUCUAAAAAUUAUCAUGAGUCACUAAUACUUAAAUCUAUGAUGUUACGUGAUAUAUUUUGAAUUUUUUGUUGGACUUUCAAAUCUUUAGCCUAAUUGCUUAUCUAAUACUGCAAAUACAUGAAUAUGUGUAUAUGAUAACAGGCUCAAGACAAGGAGGAGGCAGCAAGGAAGCGAGGUAAAGAGCUCAAACAAAGAAGAAAAGGCUAGAUGAAAGAGCUUUGGUAUACGCAUUCAAUGGAAAAAUUCAGCUUGGAAGAGCUUGAAGUUUUGGAUGCUGGUACGAAGGCCUUGUGGAAUGAUGUUGCCGAACUUGCAAAGAAGCUAAAGAAGGAACAAGGUAACUCGAGUUCAGCUGAGGGUUCUCCAAGGGAUGACGGGAUGUUUUACUGAGAUCCAGCAAUGAAGGCCUUGAUUUCUCUCCCCAUGCAUAGUAUGCCCAGCAACCCAACUCAU
RNAcentral lists this long non-coding RNA (511 nucleotides) under Carica papaya (papaya). RNAcentral's name for it is "long non-coding RNA (CPAP_LNC014873)". Lineage: Eukaryota; Viridiplantae; Streptophyta; Magnoliopsida; Brassicales; Caricaceae. The record is from RNAcentral.